GUUAAGCGACUAAGCGUACACGGUGGAUGCCCUGGCAGUCAGAGGCGAUGAAGGGCGUGCUAAUCUGCGAUAAGCGCCGGUAAGGUGAUAUGAACCGUUAUAACCGGCGAUACCCGAAUGGGGAAACCCAGUGUGAUUCGUCACACUAUCAUUAACUGAAUCCAUAGGUUAAUGAGGCGAACCGGGGGAACUGAAACAUCUAAGUACCCCGAGGAAAAGAAAUCAACCGAGAUUCCCCCAGUAGCGGCGAGCGAACGGGGAGGAGCCCAGAGCCUGAAUCAGCAUGUGUGUUAGUGGAAGCGUCUGGAAAGGCGCGCGAUACAGGGUGACAGCCCCGUACACAAAAGCGCAUGUGCUGUGAGCUCGAUGAGUAGGGCGGGACACGUGGUAUCCUGUCUGAAUAUGGGGGGACCAUCCUCCAAGGCUAAAUACUCCUGACUGACCGAUAGUGAACCAGUACCGUGAGGGAAAGGCGAAAAGAACCCCGGCGAGGGGAGUGAAAAAGAACCUGAAACCGUGUACGUACAAGCAGUGGGAGCACAGGUUUACCUGUGUGACU
Molecule: ribosomal RNA, 559 nt
Filed under: Salmonella enterica subsp. enterica serovar Bareilly
Lineage: Bacteria; Pseudomonadati; Pseudomonadota; Gammaproteobacteria; Enterobacterales; Enterobacteriaceae
Description: partial 23S ribosomal RNA
Rfam family: Bacterial large subunit ribosomal RNA
Source: RNAcentral